This 492-nucleotide ribosomal RNA is filed under the name uncultured bacterium. Its description in RNAcentral is "partial 16S ribosomal RNA". It matches the Rfam family "Bacterial small subunit ribosomal RNA", at positions 29 to 507 of the family's 1533-position model. The record is from RNAcentral.
AGUGAACGCUGGCGGUAGGCCUAACACAUGCAAGUCGAACGGCAGCACAGUAAGAGCUUGCUCUUACGGGUGGCGAGUGGCGGACGGGUGAGGAAUACAUCGGAAUCUACUUUUUCGUGGGGGAUAACGUAGGGAAACUUACGCUAAUACCGCAUACGACCUACGGGUGAAAGCAGGGGAUCUUCGGACCUUGCGCGAUUGAAUGAGCCGAUGUCGGAUUAGCUAGUUGGCGGGGUAAAGGCCCACCAAGGCGACGAUCCGUAGCUGGUCUGAGAGGAUGAAUAGGCACACUGGAACUGAGACACGGUCCAGACUCCUACGGGAGGCAGCAGUGGGGAAUAUUGGACAAUGGGCGCAAGCCUGAUCCAGCCAUACCGCGUGGGUGAAGAAGGCCUUCGGGUUGUAAAGCCCUUUUGUUGGGAAAGAAAAGCAGCAGGUUAAUACCCCGCUGUUCUGACGGUACCCAAAGAAUAAGCACCGGCUAACUUCGUG